GUUGAAAAGAACUUUGAAGAGAGAGUUCAAGAGUACGUGAAACGUUCAGGGUAAACCUGAGAAACCCAAAAGAUCGAAUGGGGAGAUUCAUCGUCAGCGGCGUUGGUUCCUUGUGGAUCGCGAUGGCCGGGACUUCGGUUCCGCGUCACGCGUCCGCUGNGGUAUGUCCGGCGUCGUCGGCGUGCACUUCUCCCCUAGUAGGACGUCGCGACCCGUUGGGUGCCGGCCUACGGCCCGGUUGGUCGACUGACGCGUCGCGUUCACGCGUGCACGCGUCAGACCACCGGUUGCCCGGCCGGCUGCCCGGCGGUAUAGAUCGCUAUAAAACGGUAUUGGGCCGCAUUAAGUGCGUUCUGGCUCGUCGGCAGGCUCGUCUCGCUCGGAUUUACGGACCUAGUGCCGUUGCCGGGCGCUUGGCGUGGCCGUUAGUCGACGAUGUCCUCGGACUGGCUCUUACAUUCGAACGGAUUUACCGGUCGGCGACGCUACUGCUUUGGGUACUUUCAGGACCCGUCUUGAAACACGGACCAAGGAGUCUAACAUGUGCGCGAGUCAUUGGGACUUGUUAAGCCUAAAGGCGCAAUGAAAGUGAAGGUCGACCCUAGCGUCGACCGAGGGAGGAUGGCUCGCGUCACGAUGCGAGCCCGCACUCCCGGGGCGUCUCGUGCUCAUUGCGAGCAGAGGCGCACCCAGAGCGUACACGUUGGGACCCGAAAGAUGGUGAACUAUGCCUGGUCAGGACGAAGUCAGGGGAAACCCUGAUGGAGGUCCGUAGCGAUUCUGACGUGCAAAUCGAUCGUCGGAACUGGGUAUAGGGGCGAAAGACUAAUCGAACCAUCUAGUAGCUGGUUCCCUCCGAAG
RNAcentral lists this ribosomal RNA (861 nucleotides) under Meraporus graminicola. RNAcentral describes it as "eukaryotic LSU rRNA". It matches the Rfam family "Eukaryotic large subunit ribosomal RNA", at positions 363 to 966 of the family's 3401-position model. The record is from RNAcentral. Lineage: Eukaryota; Metazoa; Arthropoda; Insecta; Hymenoptera; Pteromalidae.